UACGUAGGGUCCGAGCGUUGUCCGGAAUUAUUGGGCGUAAAGGGCUCGUAGGCGGUUUGUCGCGUCGGGAGUGAAAACGCCGGGCUUAACUCGGUGCUUGCUUUCGAUACGGGCAGACUAGAGGUAUGCAGGGGAGAACGGAAUUCCUGGUGUAGCGGUGAAAUGCGCAGAUAUCAGGAGGAACACCGGUGGCGAAGGCGGGUCUCUGGGCAACAACUGACGCUGAGGAGCGAAAGCGUGGGGAGCGAACAGG
This 253-nucleotide ribosomal RNA is filed under the name uncultured bacterium. RNAcentral's name for it is "partial 16S ribosomal RNA". It matches the Rfam family "Bacterial small subunit ribosomal RNA", at positions 524 to 776 of the family's 1533-position model. The record is from RNAcentral.